Molecule: ribosomal RNA, 405 nt
Filed under: Chaetoceros sp.
Lineage: Eukaryota; Bacillariophyta; Thalassiosirophyceae; Chaetocerotales; Chaetocerotaceae
Description: partial large subunit ribosomal RNA
Rfam family: Bacterial large subunit ribosomal RNA
Source: RNAcentral
CAGAAAGACCCUAUGAAGCUUUACUGUAGCUUGAGAUUGUUGCCGGAUAUAUCGUGUGCAGAUUAGGUGGGAGGCGUUGAUCAUAAGCUUCCGGGUUUAUAGGAGCCAUCAGUGAGAUACCACUCUCGUUAUAUCCAGCAUCUCAUCAUGACCCAUUAGCUGGGCAUAAGACAGUCUUAGGUGGGCAGUUUGACUGGGGCGGUCGCCUCCUAAAAAGUAACGGAGGCGCACAAAGGUAUUCUCAGGCUGUUUGGAAAUCAGCUGUGGCGUGCAAAGGCAUAAGAAUGCUUGACUGCAAGACCUACAAGUCGAGCAGGGACGAAAGUCGGUCUUAGUGAUCCGAUAGUACCGUGUGGAAGGGCUAUCGCUCAACGGAUAAAAGUUACUCUAGGGAUAACAGGCUGA